UACGAAGGGGGCUAGCGUUGUUCGGAAUUACUGGGCGUAAAGGGCGCGUAGGCGGCCUGCUAAGUCGAACGUGAAAUCCCUGGGCUCAACCCAGGAACUGCGUCCGAUACUGGUUGGCUUGAAUCCGGGAGAGGGACGUGGAAUUCCAGGUGUAGCGGUGAAGUGCGUAGAUAUCUGGAGGAACACCGGUGGCGAAGGCGACGUCCUGGACCGGCAUUGACGCUGAGGCGCGAAAGCCAGGGGAGCAAACGGG
RNAcentral lists this ribosomal RNA (253 nucleotides) under uncultured bacterium. Its description in RNAcentral is "partial 16S ribosomal RNA". It matches the Rfam family "Bacterial small subunit ribosomal RNA", at positions 524 to 776 of the family's 1533-position model. The record is from RNAcentral.